GCAGGGGCAGUGUCUUCUGGGUCACCCUGCCCCGGGCCUGACAGAGGCCACCUGAUGCAGCAGCACAUCCCAGGCCAGGCUUCACCCGCUUCCUGGCCCCAGGGCCCACCAUUGCUCAAUCCUCCUGAGUCACCUGGUGACCUGGGCCUGACAUUGGGUGGUUGUGACGUGCUUUAGUUGGAAAGGGGCUCUUGUGCCCCCGGACUCUGGCUGAGCAGUGGCCUGUGCUCAUGGGCUGGGCGUGACAGGUCGCAGGUGCAGGAGCAGGCACUGCCUCUGGUGCCCUGAUGACCACAGCGGCCUGCCCCGAACAACUCACAGCAGAAGGUGUGUUUAGGACCAGCUUACCUUAAAGUGACACAGAAUUCGAGUAAGGUCUUUCAGAGGAUCUCAAAUAUUUCAUUCUGAUUAAAAACUUGGGGGGUGAUCGGGGAAGAGGCCAGAAGGACCUCAGCUUCUGGGAGCCACGAACAUGAUAUCUGAUCCUGCAGGGUGGCCCUGUGGGGGAGCAUCUCAGAGGCUGCGCCUCCCCUCUGUGGCCAGGCCUGGGAAGGAUUGGGACAGCUACAGAGGAGGCCCACACAGAGGAGGCCAGGACUCCGAGUCUCAUGCCCCACCCACAGGGGAGGGUCUCGGGCCUUCUUCAGGCCCACAGACGGGGGCAGGCAGUCGUCAUCUGUGGAGGCGGUAGAGGAGAGGCCGAGUCUACAUCGGGGCAGCCUGAGGUGAACUCCUGGGCCCUGGGCCCCGCUCUUGGAGUUGGCUGCUGCUGAAUGCCAGCAGGUCAGCCUGCACGGCCUCAGUUCUGAGCCACGGAGAGCACAUGUGCCUUUGGGGGCUGUUUGGCGCCAUCUCCGUGGCUGUCAGCCUUGUCAGCACAGGUUUCUGUGUGUUUUUAAAUCCAUGUGGUGGCCCCUCUGUUCCACUGACUUUUUCACAUCACAGAGCCCUUGACUGUCUAUCCGUGUCUGUGCGUAAGGCAUGAACACACGCCAGAGCCUUUGGUUUCUCAUAGGGGUGCAGCCGCUGCCUGGCGGGGUGGGCGGCAUCACUGAACCCUGCUGUCCCUGUAGAUGGGAGGGCCCAUGAGAUGGUGAACACUGGGGGCCCUGGUGUCUUGGACUUGGCCCUGAGCUCGGUCCUGUCUAGCCUCAGCCCCCCACCCAGGGCCUUCACUCCUGAAACC
RNAcentral lists this long non-coding RNA (1186 nucleotides) under Homo sapiens (human). RNAcentral's name for it is "HSALNT0227139". The record is from RNAcentral. Lineage: Eukaryota; Metazoa; Chordata; Mammalia; Primates; Hominidae.